UGUGAUUUCCAAUAAUUGAGGC
RNAcentral lists this microRNA (22 nucleotides) under Mus musculus (house mouse). Its description in RNAcentral is "mmu-miR-3618-5p". The record is from miRBase by way of RNAcentral. Lineage: Eukaryota; Metazoa; Chordata; Mammalia; Rodentia; Muridae.